This 64-nucleotide transfer RNA is filed under the name Scorpiops tibetanus. RNAcentral describes it as "tRNA-Leu". Lineage: Eukaryota; Metazoa; Arthropoda; Arachnida; Scorpiones; Euscorpiidae. The record is from RNAcentral.
UUCAAUAUAGCAAAAAUAAUUAUGCAUUAAAUUUAGAUUUUAAAAAUGAGUUACUCUAUUGAAA